ACGGGUGAGUAACGCGUGGGAACAUACCCUUCGGUUCGGAAUAACUCAGGGAAACUUGAGCCAAUACCGGAUACGUCCGAGAGGAGAAAGAUUUAUUGCCGAAGGAUUGGCCCGCGUCCGAUUAGCUAGUUGGUGAGGUAACUGCUCACCAAGGCAUUGAUCGGUAGCUGGUCUGAGAGGAUGAUCAGCCACACUGGGACUGAGACACGGCCCAGACUCCUACGGGAGGCAGCAGUGGGGAAUAUUGGACAAUGGGCGCAAGCCUGAUCCAGCCAUGCCGCGUGAGUGAUGAAGGCCUUAGGGUUGUAAAGCUCUUUCGCUGGGGACGAUAAUGACGGUACCCAGAUAAGAAGCCCCGGCUAACUUCGUGCCAGCAGCCGCGGUAAUACGAAGGGGGCUAGCGUUGUUCGGAUUUACUGGGCGUAAAGCGCACGUAGGCGGAUUUUUAAGUCAGGGGUGAAAUCCCGAGGCUCAACCUCGGAAUUGCCUUUGAUACUGGAAGUCUUGAGUUCGGAAGAGGUGAGUGGAAUUGUGAGUGUAGAGGUGAAAUUCGUAGA
This 557-nucleotide ribosomal RNA is filed under the name uncultured bacterium. RNAcentral describes it as "bacterial SSU rRNA". It matches the Rfam family "Bacterial small subunit ribosomal RNA", at positions 102 to 694 of the family's 1533-position model. The record is from RNAcentral.